RNAcentral lists this ribosomal RNA (497 nucleotides) under uncultured bacterium. RNAcentral describes it as "partial 16S ribosomal RNA". It matches the Rfam family "Bacterial small subunit ribosomal RNA", at positions 28 to 507 of the family's 1533-position model. The record is from RNAcentral.
GAUGAACGCUGGCGGCGUGCCUAAUACAUGCAAGUCGAGCGAACAGACGAGGAGCUUGCUCCUCUGACGUUAGCGGCGGACGGGUGAGUAACACGUGGAUAACCUACCUAUAAGACUGGGAUAACUUCGGGAAACCGGAGCUAAUACCGGAUAAUAUAUUGAACCGCAUGGUUCAAUAGUGAAAGACAGUUUUGCUGUCACUUAUAGAUGGAUCCGCGCCGCAUUAGCUAGUUGGUAAGGUAACGGCUUACCAAGGCAACGAUGCGUAGCCGACCUGAGAGGGUGAUCGGCCACACUGGAACUGAGACACGGUCCAGACUCCUACGGGAGGCAGCAGUAGGGAAUCUUCCGCAAAGGGCGAAAGCCUGACGGAGCAACGCCGCGUGAGUGAUGAAGGUCUUCGGAUCGUAAAACUCUGUUAUUAGGGAAGAACAAAUGUGUAAGUAACUAUGCACGUCUUGACGGUACCUAAUCAGAAAGCCACGGCUAACUACGUG